GAAAUGCGAUAACUAGUGUGAAUUGCAGAAUUCCGUGAAUCAUCGAGUCUUUGAACGCACAUUGCGCCCCCUGGUAUUCCGGGGGGCAUGCCUGUCCGAGCGUCAUUGCUGCCCGUCAAGCACGGCUUGUGUGUUGGGUCGUCGUCCCCUCUCCGGGGGGGACGGGCCCCAAAGGCAGCGGCGGCACCGCGUCCGAUCCUCGAGCGUAUGGGGCUUUGUCACCCGCUCUGUAGGCCCGGCCGGCGCUUGCCGAACGCAAAUCAAUCUUUUUCCAGGUUGACCUCGGAUCAGGUAGGGAUACCCGCUGAACUUAAGC
This 316-nucleotide unclassified non-coding RNA is filed under the name plant metagenome. RNAcentral's name for it is "partial contains 5.8S ribosomal RNA, internal transcribed spacer 2, and large subunit ribosomal RNA". The stretch from base 1 to 105 matches the Rfam family "5.8S ribosomal RNA", at positions 50 to 154 of the family's 154-position model. The record is from RNAcentral.